Molecule: long non-coding RNA, 1608 nt
Organism: Oncorhynchus tshawytscha (Chinook salmon)
Lineage: Eukaryota; Metazoa; Chordata; Actinopteri; Salmoniformes; Salmonidae
Source: Ensembl
AGCAUCAUCAUUUUCUCACAGCGUUACCAUGACUAUCACCAGCCUCCAUGUGUCUUUCCUACAGUACUGUGUAUGUGACUAAGUCGUCUCAAAUCAACACGUGACACUAUAGGCUAUAUCGGUCAUCAAGAUAAAAUCAGGAUACAUUUUCUUACCAUGACAACAGCGCUGUUCCAGAGAAGAGUCCGUCACCAUCACAACCAUCACAACCACAGCUACCAUGAGACUUCCCCAUGUUGGCUCUCAGCCGGGUCAUCACCCACGAGAGCUGCAAUUUGAUCAAUUGAGUUUGAGUCCAUCAGUAGCUGGAAAGUGAGGGAGAUCAGGAGCCAGGAAGACUGCCCGCGAAAGCGUGAAUGGACCAUUAUUAUGCACCUGUCAGAACAGGGGCGGGGGGAAAAGACAUGUCAUUCAUCUGCACUUCAAUAGACAACGGAGGACGAUGGAGGACGAUGGAGGGCGAUGGAGGACGAUGGAGGGCGAUGGAGGGCAAUGGAGGACGAUGGAGGGCAAUAGAGGAUGAUGGAAGGCGAUGAAGGGCACUGGAGGACGAUGGAGGGCAAUGGAGGACGAUGGAGGGCAAUGGAGGACGACGGAAGGCGAUGGAGGGCAAUGGAGGACGAUGGAGGGUGCUGAAAGGCACUGGAGGACGAUGGAUGGCGCUGGAGGACGAUGGAGGACGAUUGAGGACGAUGCAGGGCGAUGGAGGACGCUGGAGGGCGAUGGAGGACGAUGGAGGGCGAUGGAGGACUAUGGAGGGCGAUGGAGGGCGAUGGAGGACGAUGGAGGGCGAUGGAGGACGAUGGAGGGCGAUGGAGGGCGAUGGAGGGCGAUGGAGGACGAUGGAGGGCGAUGGAGGACGAUGGAGGGCGCUGGAGUACGAUGGAGUGCAAUGGAGGACGAUGGAGGGCAAUGGAGGAUGAUGGAGGGCGAUUGAGGAUGAUUGAGGACGAUGGAGGGCGAUGGAGGGCGAUGGAGGCACUGGAGGGCGAUGGAGGGCGAUGGAGGGCGAUGGAGGAUGAUGGAGGACGAUGGAGGACGAUGGAGGGCGAUUUAGGGAGCUGGAGGACGAUGGAGGGCGAUGGAGGAUGAUGGAGGGCGAUUGAGGACGAUGGAGGGUGAUGGAGGGCGCUGGAGGACGAUGGAGGGCGAUGGAGGGUGCUGGAGGACGAUGGAGGAUGAUGGGGGACGAUGGAGGACGAUGGGGGACGAUGGAGGACGAUGGGGGACGAUGGAGGACGAUGGAGGGCGAUGGAGGGCGAUGGAGGACGAUGGAGGGCGAUGGAGGACGAUGGAGGACGAUGGAGGAUGAUGGCGGGCGCUGGAGGACGAUGGAGUGCAAUGGAGGACGAUGGAGGGCGAUGGAGGACGAUGGAGGACGAUGGAGGGCGAUGGAGGACGAUGGAGGGCGCUGGAGGACGAUGGAGUGCAAUGGAGGAUGAUGGAGGGCAAUGGAGGAUGAUGGAGGGCGAUUGAAGACGAUGGAUGGCGAUGGAGGGCGAUGGAAGGCACUGGAGGACGAUGGAGGAUGAUAGAGGGCGAUUGAGGACGAUGGAGGAUGAUGGGGGACCAUGGGGGACGAUGGAGGACCAUGGGGGACGAUGGGGG